RNAcentral lists this unclassified non-coding RNA (1815 nucleotides) under Polistes dominula (European paper wasp). RNAcentral describes it as "adenylyltransferase and sulfurtransferase MOCS3, transcript variant X3". Lineage: Eukaryota; Metazoa; Arthropoda; Insecta; Hymenoptera; Vespidae. The record is from RNAcentral.
AGAUCACAAAUCAAAUACAUAUACGUACACAUUCAAGAGACAAUCACACCAAUGUAUCGUUGCACCAUCUAACUGUAUAAAUAUAGAACUAAGAUAGUAGUAGGUUAAAGCUCAAAUUAGAAUCUGGGUUCCAUGAUUCUCUCACUUCAUAUACACUGUAUAUAAUAAACACAAAAAUAACUUGUGAAAUAGAUACGCUGAUUCGAAGAGAUUAUAUUCAUUGAAUUUUCUUUCUAUUAUUAGCUGUAUAUAAUAGAGACAUGGACGAGGAAGAAUUGAUAAAUGAGAUUGCUAAAUUACGUGAGCUUUUACAUGAGAAGGAAACUGCAUUAGCUUAUAUAAGGCGCACAAAACAAAUCCCACGUGACUAUGGUUUAAAUAAUGAUGAAAUUAGUAGAUAUAGCAGGCAAAUUUUUUUGCCACAAAUUGGUGUAACAGGACAAAAGAAAAUAAAGGAAUCCUCGGUACUUAUCGUUGGAAUAGGUGGAUUAGGUUGUCCUUCUGCAUUAUAUUUAACAUGCAGUGGUAUUGGACAUAUUGGACUUGUAGAUUAUGAUAAUAUUGAAAUUAAUAAUUUACACAGACAGGUGUUGUUUACGGAAGGAACUAUUGGAAUGCCUAAAGUAACUGCAGCUGCAGAAUUUCUUAAUAAGUUAAAUAGUUAUACUGAAGUUACUCCUUAUAAACUUCAGCUGGACAGUAGCAAUGCUUUAAAAAUUAUAGAAUCAUAUGAUAUUGUAUUGGAUGCAACAGACAAUGUAGCAACUCGUUAUUUAUUAAAUGACGCAUGUGUUUUAAGUAAAAAACCUUUGAUCUCUGGAUCAGCGUUACGUUUUGAAGGACACUUGUCUGUAUUUAAUUAUAAUGGUCCUUGUUACCGAUGUAUCUUUCCUGAACCGCCAUCUCCUGAAACAGUAACUAAUUGUGGUGAUAGCGGUGUACUUGGAGCAGCUGUUGGAACAAUUGGUGUUUUACAAGCAGUAGAAGCUAUUAAAGUAAUUCUUGACAUGCCUGAAACACUUUCUGGUCGCUUGUUAAUAUUUGAUGGAAUUGAAACACGAUUUCGUAAUUUUACUUUACGUAUGAAAAAUCCAGAUUGUGCUAUAUGUGGAAAAAAUCCAAUUAUAAAAGAAUUAAUUGAUUAUGAACAGUUUUGUGGCUCAAAAGCUAAUGAUAAAGAUCCUAAUUUAAAUAUACUUAAAAGUGAAGACAGAAUUACAGUUGAAACAUAUCAUCAUAUAACAAAAUUUAAUACGGAAGAUCAUUUAUUAAUUGAUGUACGUUCACCCGAAGAAUUUCAAAUUUGUCGUUUGAAAAAUUCUAUAAAUAUUCCACUGUAUGAAAUUUUCAAGGAUAAUGGUACUAAACAAAUAAAAACUGAAAUUGACAAGCAAGACAAUGGAAAAACAAUAUCGAAAGUUUAUGUUUUAUGUAGAAGAGGAAAUGACUCACAGAAAGCAGUACAACACCUUCAAAAGAUAUUUAAAGAUAGUCAUGUAAAUAUUAAAGACAUCAUUGGAGGGAUCCAUGCCUGGAGCAAUAAAAUUGAUUCAACAUUCCCUAUUUAUUAAUUGUAGUAGGACCCCUUAUAACGCGAGAUGUACGUUCUGCGUUAUACGAAUUUCACGUUAUACAAAUCCACGAGCGCAAAAAAAAGACUUUAAAUUUUAACCGAUCAAGAACUUAUCAUUUUUCUUCUAAUGAUAUAAAUCUACUUAGCUGAAUUUUUCUGGAGAUCUUUGGAAUCAUGACUGGACAUUAAAUACAAUGAAAAAAGAUUGGAUUACCUUAUACGUUUUUUCAAGUGCCUAAUUA